RNAcentral lists this ribosomal RNA (387 nucleotides) under uncultured bacterium. Its description in RNAcentral is "bacterial SSU rRNA". It matches the Rfam family "Bacterial small subunit ribosomal RNA", at positions 28 to 412 of the family's 1533-position model. The record is from RNAcentral.
GAUGAACGCUAGCGGCAGGCUUAAUACAUGCAAGUCGUGGGGCAGCAUGGGGUAGCAAUACCCUGAUGGCGACCGGCAAACGGGUGCGGAACACGUACGCAACCUUCCUUUAACUGGAGAAUAGCCCCUCGAAAGAGGGAUUAAUACUCCGUAAUAUCCCGAUAUGGCAUCAUAAUGGGAUUAUAGCUCCGGCGGUUAGAGAUGGGCGUGCGCCUGAUUAGGUAGNGGCGGGGUAAUGGCCCACCAAGCCUGCGAUCAGUAACUGGUGUGAGAGCACGACCAGUCACACGGGCACUGAGACACGGGCCCACUCCUACGGGAGGCAGCAGUAAGGAAUAUUGGUCAAUGGACNCAAGUCUGAACCAGCCAUGCCGCGUGAAGGAUGAA